UACGUAGGGGGCUAGCGUUGUCCGGAAUCAUUGGGCGUAAAGGGCGCGUAGGCGGGAUGGCAAGUCAGUCGUGAAAUCUCUCGGCUCAACCGAGAAACGUCGGCUGAUACUGCCGUUCUUGAGGGAUGCAGAGGAGACUGGAAUUCCCGGUGUAGCGGUGAAAUGUGUAGAGAUCGGGAGGAACACCGGUGGCGAAGGCGGGUCUCUGGGCAUUUCCUGACGCUGAGGCGCGAAAGCGUGGGGAGCAAACGGG
Molecule: ribosomal RNA, 253 nt
Filed under: uncultured bacterium
Lineage: Bacteria
Description: partial 16S ribosomal RNA
Rfam family: Bacterial small subunit ribosomal RNA
Source: RNAcentral